GCUGUGAGAGGAAUCGACCCCUUUCGUGGCGGAGCUAACGCGAUAAACGUGCCGCCUGGGGAGUACGGUCGCAAGAUUAAAACUCAAAGAAAUUGACGGGGGCCUGCACAAGCGGUGGAGUAUGUGGCUCAAUUCGAUGCAACGCGAAGAACCUUACCUGGCCUUGACAUGCAUGUGGUAGAAGCCCGAAAGGGUAACGACCCCGCAAGGGGAGCUUGCACAGGUGCUGCAUGGCUGUCGUCAGCUCGUGUCGUGAGAUGUUGGGUUAAGUCCCGCAACGAGCGCAACCCUUGCGUCCUGUUGCCACCCCUACGAGAGUAGGGAGCACUCUGGACGGACUGCCUCGCUUCAACGGGGAGGAAGGUGGGGAUGACGUCAAGUCAGUAUGGCCCUUACGGCCAGGGCUGCACACGUACUACAAUGCCCGGCACAGAGGGAUGCCAAACCGGAAGGUGGAGCAAAUCUCCCAAAAACCGGGCCCAGUUCAGAUUGAGGUCUGCAACUCGACCUCAUGAAGUUGGAAUCGCUAGUAAUGGCGCAUCAGCUACGGCGCCGUGAAUACGUUCCCAGGCCUUGUACACACCGCCCGUCACAUCAUGAAAGCCGGUUGUACCCGAAGUCCAUGUAGAAACCGCAAGGAUCUAGUGGCCGAAGGUAUGGCUGGUGAUUGGGAUG
This 675-nucleotide ribosomal RNA is filed under the name uncultured Verrucomicrobiota bacterium. RNAcentral's name for it is "bacterial SSU rRNA". It matches the Rfam family "Bacterial small subunit ribosomal RNA", at positions 819 to 1482 of the family's 1533-position model. The record is from RNAcentral. Lineage: Bacteria; Pseudomonadati; Verrucomicrobiota.